This 430-nucleotide ribosomal RNA is filed under the name uncultured prokaryote. RNAcentral describes it as "bacterial SSU rRNA". It matches the Rfam family "Bacterial small subunit ribosomal RNA", at positions 355 to 776 of the family's 1533-position model. The record is from RNAcentral. RNAcentral also lists the same sequence under 1 other name.
UGGGGAAUCUUCCGCAAUGGACGAAAGUCUGACGGAGCAACGCCGCGUGAGUGAAGAAGGUUUUCGGAUCGUAAAGCUCUGUUUUCAGGGACGAACGGCAGGUAUGUGAACAAUAUAACUGCAUGACGGUACCUGAAGAGGAAGCCACGGCUAACUACGUGCCAGCAGCCGCGGUAAUACGUAGGUGGCAAGCGUUGUCCGGAAUUAUUGGGCGUAAAGGGCGUGUAGGCGGGAUAACAAGUCUGUUGUAAAAGUGCGGGGCUCAACCCCGUAAGGUCAAUGGAAACUGUUAUUCUUGAGUGCAGGAGAGGAAAGUGGAAUUCCCAGUGUAGCGGUGAAAUGCGUAGAUAUUGGGAGGAACACCAGUGGCGAAGGCGACUUUCUGGACUGUGUCUGACGCUGAGGCGCGAAAGCCAGGGUAGCGAACGGG